This is a long non-coding RNA of Poecilia latipinna (sailfin molly), 491 nucleotides long. RefSeq lists it as uncharacterized. The transcript is spliced from 2 exons. NCBI's taxonomy places the organism in Eukaryota, Metazoa, Chordata, Actinopteri, Cyprinodontiformes, Poeciliidae. The record is from RefSeq and is a predicted model, not a curated record.
GUGCCGCUGAUGUCAACACGUAAAGUGGUGAACGACGCCUCACUUUGGUGGAGGAGAUGAAUUGCAGGCUUUGCUUGAAAAUGGUAACAGCACCACGGAGAGCAGCUGAGCCUGAAGCCCAGAGGGCAGUCUCCAGAGACACGGAAGUUGAAGUAACAGUGAUAAACUUUCAUACAGGUUAUUAAGGUAAAUGACUUGAUUUUGUAUGCUUAAACCAUAAGCAAACUAACUUGUUGCUAAUGACCCCCAAACCAGCGAGGGCCUUUCAGAUUUAGCUAUAAAUAAUUUUAAAUGAUUUAAGUUUGACUUUGAAAUUUGUUUUAAUUUAGAAAUAAUGCCAUUAUACAUCUACUAGUGUUACAUGUCCUUAAUUUGGUAUCUAUGUCCACAACAAUAAUUUAUGGUGCACAAUCCAUCCUUCCUGCUGAUUGAAUCUGCCGCAAACUUUUUGGCAUACUGUAACUGUUUGAAAAUAAAAAUCUCAAUCAAAA